RNAcentral lists this transfer RNA (76 nucleotides) under Oxalobacteraceae bacterium. Its description in RNAcentral is "tRNA-Glu". It matches the Rfam family "tRNA". Rfam says of the family: Transfer RNA (tRNA) molecules are approximately 80 nucleotides in length. Their secondary structure includes four short double-helical elements and three loops (D, anti-codon, and T loops). Further hydrogen bonds mediate the characteristic L-shaped molecular structure. tRNAs have two regions of fundamental functional importance: the anti-codon, which is responsible for specific mRNA codon recognition, and the 3' end, to which the tRNAs corresponding amino acid is attached (by aminoacyl-tRNA synthetases). tRNAs cope with the degeneracy of the genetic code in two manners: having more than one tRNA (with a specific anti-codon) for a particular amino acid; and 'wobble' base-pairing, i.e. permitting non-standard base-pairing at the 3rd anti-codon position. The record is from RNAcentral. Lineage: Bacteria; Pseudomonadati; Pseudomonadota; Betaproteobacteria; Burkholderiales; Oxalobacteraceae.
GCGUCGUUCGUCUAAAGGUCAGGAUAUUCGGCUUUCACCCGGAAGAUGUUGGGUUCGAGACCCACACGACGCGCCA